AAAGAAUAAGAAAUCUAAUCUUUGGCGCUGUUCGUGCAAAGGCGUUAUGGAAACUAAAAAUUAAAAAUGGAAGGAAAACCCCAAAAUCGGCUGCAGGAGGAGGCAAUACCACAACAGGGCAAAUCCGCAGACUAGUUGAAGUGGUGGAGGAGUUUCACUAGAGAAUCCCAGUGGGAAGGAACAUGCCGAGUGAGACUACGCUCCCUACGUGGACAUCCUGCCGGGCGUGUCCUCUCAAAGAAAAACCACCAUCUCCGACGAGUUCUCCGUACACCACCACCACCAGCUACUAGGUAGCUUAAGUGGAGCUGGAGGACGCGCUGGCUACUAUAGGAAGGAGGAAAAUAGGGCGCCCGCCAAGGAACAGAUGGAGAUGCCAUAGCCAACCACUGCCAGGAUGCUGGGCGACUUCCUGCAGUAUCAGCGGAUCAACCCCGUUCUCAAUCCGGCUACCACUUCCUCAAGGUCCAAUAUGCUCAUUGAGACUUGGAGCUGGACUGGACGUGGGAUGAGAAGGAAGCUUUAAACUACUCACCCUUCAGUUCUGCAGUAGGGACGCGGUGACAUGGCUCAAGGCAAAAAGCUUUUUUGUUUUUUUUUUUGUGCCUAAAACGCUGUG
Long non-coding RNA from Drosophila subpulchrella, 619 nucleotides. RefSeq lists it as uncharacterized. The transcript has 3 exons. NCBI's taxonomy places the organism in Eukaryota, Metazoa, Arthropoda, Insecta, Diptera, Drosophilidae. The record is from RefSeq and is a predicted model, not a curated record.